This 433-nucleotide ribosomal RNA is filed under the name uncultured bacterium. RNAcentral's name for it is "partial 16S ribosomal RNA". It matches the Rfam family "Bacterial small subunit ribosomal RNA", at positions 29 to 507 of the family's 1533-position model. The record is from RNAcentral.
AGCGAACGCUGGCGGCAGGCCUAACACAUGCAAGUCGAACGGAUCCUUCGGGAUUAGUGGCGGACGGGUGAGUAACACGUGGGUACGUGCCCUUUGGUUCGGAACAACUCAGGGAAACUUGAGCUAAUACCGGAUGUGCCCUUCGGGGGAAAGAUUUAUCGCCAUUGGAGCGGCCCGCGUCUGAUUAGCUAGUUGGUGAGGUAACGGCCCACCAAGGCGACGAUCAGUAGCUGGUCUGAGAGGAUGAUCAGCCACACUGGGACUGAGACACGGCCCAGACUCCUACGGGAGGCAGCAGUGGGGAAUCUUGCGCAAUGGGCGAAAGCCUGACGCAGCCAUGCCGCGUGAAUGAUGAAGGUCUUAGGAUUGUAAAAUUCUUUCAGCGGGGACGAUAAUGACGGUACCCGCAGAAGAAGCUCCGGCUAACUUCGUG